GUGGGUGUAGUUCAGUUGGUUAGAGCGUCAGAUUGUGGUUCUGAAUGUCGUGGGUUCGAGCCCCACCACCCACCCGA
This 77-nucleotide transfer RNA is filed under the name Hoylesella oralis CC98A. RNAcentral describes it as "Prevotella oralis CC98A tRNA-His". It matches the Rfam family "tRNA". Rfam says of the family: Transfer RNA (tRNA) molecules are approximately 80 nucleotides in length. Their secondary structure includes four short double-helical elements and three loops (D, anti-codon, and T loops). Lineage: Bacteria; Pseudomonadati; Bacteroidota; Bacteroidia; Bacteroidales; Prevotellaceae. The record is from RNAcentral.